Long non-coding RNA from Anoplophora glabripennis (Asian longhorned beetle), 170 nucleotides. RefSeq lists it as uncharacterized. The record is from RefSeq and is a predicted model, not a curated record. Lineage: Eukaryota; Metazoa; Arthropoda; Insecta; Coleoptera; Cerambycidae. The transcript is spliced from 2 exons.
AGGAGACAUGGCGAGAUGUCAAAUUUGAAAUAAAAUAAACAAACAAGAAACAAUGCCCAGUGGACUACAUGAAUUUUAAAUUUAAGAAGCCUGUAAGAGAUACACUUUAAGGGUCCCAGCAUUUUUGCGUUUCGAGAUGCCACUUGCCGCCUACAAAAACUCCAAGGAAC